RNAcentral lists this long non-coding RNA (5163 nucleotides) under Gallus gallus (chicken). Lineage: Eukaryota; Metazoa; Chordata; Aves; Galliformes; Phasianidae. The record is from RNAcentral.
UGAAAAAGUAGUAGUAAAAGGAGUACAUGUAAACAUAUAUCGCAGUUGAUGCGGCAGAAAGAAAGCUUGUCCAUUGCCACCUGUAAUCCUCUGCGUUUAGCAGGAAAUAUGUACAAACGAUAGUCACACAAACUGUCACAAUGCAGAGGAUAACCAGAACCAACAUCAUAAAGCCAUAAACAUAGUAGAUCUUGUAAGCCCAGAAUGAAGUAAAAAUGAAAUACAUUUCAAUAAAAAUUGAUCCAAAGGGGAGGAUUCCACCUAGGCAAACAAUAACAGCUGGUUCCAUGAACCAUUUUUUUUCUGGUAUGGGACGAGGCACUGCAUUGACACGGCAUGGAAAAUUGGGCUGUCCUGACAGAUUUCGGCCAAGAAUCGUACCAACGAGGUUCAGUGGAAGAAUGACAAAGAAACAAAUACAACAUACUGCCACCAUGGUUCCAAACGGUAUAGCUCUUGAAGCAUGGUAAUAGAUGGCAAUGAAGUUAAUGAAGAAGGCAGUUCCACACACCAUUGCCGGAAUAAGGAAAGCUCCAAUGAACAUCUGUUUUAUCCACCGCCUUCCUCCUUGUCUAGCAUAAAGACUUCCUCCAAAAUAUCCAUUCACUGGGGAUGUUGCAGCAUAAACAAAUAUAGCUGUACUAAGCAUUGAUCCUCUCUCUGUGUAUAAAUCUUCUAUCAUUGCAACAACAAUGACUAUAAGAGACACAGCAAAAAUCUGACACCCAGAGCCAAUAAGUGAUGAGAAUAUGAGAGGAUGACUGGAUGGUCUAAAAACAUCUCCAUGGACCUGCUUCCAUCCAUACUCAUCACCUAGAUCUCUGUCCAUAUCGUCCAUUUCUUCCUCCUUGCUGUAUCUUGCAUAAUCUUUUCGCAAAGUUCUCAUUAAUAUCAUAGACACUAGGCCAACCAGAAAGAUCACCAUCAUGAAAGAAUUGAAAAUUGAAAACCAGUGAAUUCUGUGCUGAAAGAAAGAUGGGUCAAGGUACUUGUCAAAUCGGUCUUCAAAUUUCACAUCUGACUUCUUCCACUUCACAGAAUAUGACAUCUGGAUUUUUGUAUUUGGUACCAGUUUCACCUUUCCUUCGCUGGUAAGAUUGACAUCCACAAUUCUAUUUGUAUUGUAACCAAUUUCAAGUUUUUUGUAAGUCCAAAGGUAAUAGUCUUCCCCAUUUUCAUCUGCUUCUCCAACAAUGCCCCAUAUUGGCAAGUCAUCAAUAUACAUCUGGUACCAAUAGUGAUUUUUGAUAGCAUACACAAAGGCUUCUCUUCUUCCUUUGUCCAAGUCAAUUUCACAGUAAGUAGUCUGCAUUACAUCGUCUUUGAAUUUGAUGUCAAGACCACUAAAUUCCAAUUCAACUCCUUGAAGUGCUUCUCCUAGGGUUUCGUGGUAAUGGCUGAUGCUUUUUUUUGAUCCCACGCAGAAAGGAAGAGAGAAAUAUUUGUAUGUUUCUUGGCGAUUGUGAUAGGGUCCUACUGUAUUCAUCCAUAAAACAACUUCCUCUUUAUCUUGGUACGUGUGCUCGUGCUCGUCGGCGCGGGCGCGCGGCGGCAGGCAGAGGAGAAGCAGCGCGGCGGCCGCGCGGAGCAGCAACAGCCCGGGCGCCGCCAUCUCGGGCCUCCGCGUCCCCGCGCACGCAGCAGGCCCCGCCGCGGAGCCGGCCCGCGCCCCGCCACUAACGCCGACCUGCGACGCCACUUCCGGUCCGCCCGGCCACGUCAUCCGGCCGCACGCCGGAAGCGGGGUGCCUACGGCGGCCGGCAGGGAGCGCGGAGCUUCGCGCAGAGCCGCCUUCCGCGCUUCCUCCUGGCCGGGCGGGGCGGGACGGGACGCAGCAAGCGGUGCAGGGGUGCCGCCCCGGCAACUGCCCGGGUCUGUAACACACGAUGGCCUUAGGGGAAGCUCAGUGGAGCAGAACCGUAUUUUAACCGACAGAACUACGUUGUAAUCGAUGAACUCUUAGGAUACCGAUCCAUCGUUCUGAAUGAACGGAGAACCGUGCGCCACGGGACUCGGCCGCAGAGCAGCGUGCGGAUUCACUCGCGCUUGGUCUGGCCUGCCGCGAUGCCCGUACAAGCACCGCAAACUCACAAUGCCACUUCAGAGUGCAAAAGUCUACAUCCGUACACAGAGCACGGGCUGGCAGGGCAGGCCAAACUGCCCCCGUGUGACAAACAGCUCAGUUUUCCAUGGACAAAAAGCCAGCAAAUGUAUAAGUGCUUCCAAGUGCCUCUACGUACUAGCCCAGAGAAUGAACCUACGAAGGUAAGGAGCUGCCAGCAUUAGGUGUUCGCUGACCAGACAAUUACAAAACCAAAUGUAACCAAGUUUUAGAGGCUACUACUUAGAUUUCAAAAACAAAACCGUGCCAGCAAAGAAAAAAGAGAGUAAGAGAUGUGCUGCACACGAGGGCUCAGUGCUGUUGCUUGCCACCCCUGCUUUGUAGGCACGAUUCCAAACCAAGAGCUCCCUGGUUGCCUCUGCUCUUCAUCACUGUUGUCAGAGCUUCUCCCUCCGUAGUCCUGUACAUUCACUGUACCAUAUUCCCAAUCUCCUGUCUAUUGCAGUAAUGGCAAGGUCCUUUCAGAAAGAAAUAUUUGUCAAAACCCAUUCAAAACCUUUGCCUUAAAGAAGGAAAACUUGGACGACUUCUCUAGCACCGUAUGUUUCUUCUCAGUCAUUGCACCUCAGUCCAAAGCAGAACAGAAUUCCCCUGGGAGACAGAGAGUGUCUCAGUGUCUCUGGUUUAUUCAGCACUCACGUCUCUCAGGCAGAGCCAUCUGCUGCGGAGGACAGUGUGAGGCACAUUACAAAGAGCAAACAUUCUGCCGGGCCAGGCAGCUGCCACCCGACUUUGGGAGAUGGCUCAGUGCCCCUGCCUAUGGAAGAGCCAUUGACUUUUUACCAGCAAUUUUAUUAUCUGCUCAGCCCUUUUGCAUGGAAACAUGCUUUCUUCUCACACUCCUCUCUAAGCAUAUUUGUGUUUAGUCAAUGAUUUAGUCAUAUGCAAAUGCUUCUCCAAUCUCUUCCAAGCUUUAAUUUCAGUGCAUUUUUCAGGUGGUGGCAAUACAGACCAUGGCUCACCCAGCACAACUCCAUACACUGAGCUGCAAGAAGCUUAAAGCAAUUAAAUCAAACCAAUCUGGAACACAUUUUGGCCAGUCAGAAGGCGCAUCUCUGCUGAUCUGAAAGUCUUUGCUUUUGUAUGAUGGUCAGGUCACACUAAGAUUUAAGCUGCAAAUGGGACAGCAACCACAAGACUGCUUAUGGAUCACAUUCCAGCUCUUCAGCUGUUAAUUGUCUCGCUGCAGUACUAACAAUAAAAACCCAGCUUCCAGCCAUACAAUCAGGAUUGUGCAAAGGCAAAUGUUCACAUACAGUUCAGAUAUAUCCUUCUCAGAGAAGACGUAUUUAGCUAUAACAUGCAGGGAAUGUGGACUUAAAAAUUAGGCAGGGGAAGAGAGAGCCCUGGGCUGCUUCAGUCUAACACCUUUGAAAGGGAGUGUUCUGCACAGCGUUUGUAGUUUGCUCUUGGUUUUUUCCCCAUGUGCUAUGUUUCUACAUUGUGUUGUAUACCUAGCAUCCAUCACAUCACAACUCCAAGCCCUGAAGCACAGCUACAGUCACCACUAUGGAAAUGGGGAACAGCUGGACAAAACCAGGGAGCUGUGUGCAAAGCAAAGCACAUAUAUCAGCUAAAAAGAAUCACUUCUGAGUUUCCUUCAGUUAUCCACAGUACCAUUCUCCUUAUUUCAGCCCCAAACUUCAUUCCCUGCUUCCAAUUUGACUAAAUAACACUAGGAAUUUUAUUCUGUUUCAAGAAGGGCACAGGAAGGCAGCUCCCACCUCACAGAGAUACUGUAAACAACAAAUACAUAAAAUGUUCAUGCUUCAUCUACUGGCCUGCAGUACACAUCCUGCAACCCUUUUGUAGCAAGAGUAAAGGCUGUAUGAACAGCACUUGGCAUCAUACCCUAUGGGUUUUAACAUGCAGAUGACAUUUAGCUUAUGCCUAUGCCCACAAGACCUGCAGAAGCUUGCAGCUCCCCCUACUACCUUCACCAUGCUGCAGGAGAACAGGGUACAACCCUAAGACCUGCUCUGCUAUGGAGCAAGGGAAGCUUACAUACCCUGAUGGAAGCUCCAUACAUCCUAUAUCUCACUCAGGGCUGGAAGAGGGGGAUUGUUUUGAAAACCAAGUAGGCCGUGCUGCUUAAUGCUCUACCCCAAAUGCUGUCCUGUAGAAUUCUCAUCUGUGUCACUCAUGGACAACCAGAACCCCCAAGGGCCAGGAUAUGCACAGAAGAGUGUAAGGUCUGGGAAAAAAAAAAAAAAAAAAAAGCUUACUUUAAUCAUCCCAGCCCCUUGAGAUGAAGAAUCAAAAUAAACUUCUGUUUUAUGUGCUUCCUACAUUUGGCACACACAGCCCAACCAUGAAGCUGUCCUUAAGUCUGCAAGCCCUCAGGCAGAAAAAAGGACUGGACACAGCUGUUGCUGAUUCACAUUGCUAGAAAGCCAGAGCAGAGCAAGCACAGGCAGGAUGCCUGCUUCAACUACAGCAGCCAACUGUGCAGCUGGCAGUGGUGAGGUGUGUGCCUCUGGAAUUGCACAGUUGCUGUAUUAUUCCAGAGCAUGAAGUGGAAGGUUUUCAUGCUGCUACGGUGAACAUGCAUAAGGGAUAAGAACAAAGCAGUGCUACCAUUUUCUUCCCCUAAUUUAAGAGGUCAGCUGUGUGAUUUCAAGUGACAACUCCCACAGUGGCUUAAGUACAGCUGUUUUGACACAGCAAAUCCCUUGCCAGCUGCCUUGGGAGCUUUCAUGGCAAAGACAGCACACCCACAUCUCGUUAAUGUCAGUCCUCUUCAGGGAGGGAAGGGGAAAGGCAUUUUCAAAAUUUUAAGCAAAAUGUAUUUGUAAAUAAAGAUAACUUUUCAUCCUCCUGUGGUUUAAUAAUUGCUGGAGAGACAUUCCAUACUUUCUGGAAUUUCAAUAUCUGCACACAACGUUACACUGAACAGAAGUACACGACACCUGAUCCUGCAGUAAUGAGAAUUCUUCAAACAAAGCAUUUAAUUUGUUUUGUUUUUCUUUUUCAAGUCUGUUUUCCAGUGAAGCCCUUGUACACCGUACUGAAAGAUUUGUUGACAAUGCUUAUCAGGAUU